AUCUCCUUUCAGCCUUUUGGUUAAAAUCAUGUGUAGUAUCUGUUCUUAUCAGUUUAAUAUCUGAUAUGUCCUCUGUCUGAGGACGCUAUAUUAAAUGGGUUUUUGGAGCAGGGAGAUGGGAUAGGAGCUUGCUCUGUCCACUCCAGGCAUUGACCCGGUAUUGCAGUACCUUCAGGAACGGUGCACCCCCU
This is a small nuclear RNA of Aotus nancymaae (Ma's night monkey), 191 nucleotides long. Its record names the gene U2. It matches the Rfam family "U2 spliceosomal RNA". From Rfam's summary of the family: U2 is a small nuclear RNA (snRNA) component of the spliceosome (involved in pre-mRNA splicing). Complementary binding between U2 snRNA (in an area lying towards the 5' end but 3' to hairpin I) and the branchpoint sequence (BPS) of the intron results the bulging out of an unpaired adenosine, on the BPS, which initiates a nucleophilic attack at the intronic 5' splice site, thus starting the first of two transesterification reactions that mediate splicing. The record is from Ensembl. Lineage: Eukaryota; Metazoa; Chordata; Mammalia; Primates; Aotidae.